ACGGGUGAGUAACACGUGGGAACCUUCCCUAUAGUACGGAAUAGCCCAGGGAAACUUGGAGUAAUACCGUAUACGCCCGAGAGGGGAAAGAUUUAUCGCUAUAGGAUGGGCCCGCGUCGGAUUAGCUAGUUGGUGAGGUAAUGGCUCACCAAGGCAACGAUCCGUAGCUGGUUUGAGAGAACGACCAGCCACACUGGGACUGAGACACGGCCCAGACUCCUACGGGAGGCAGCAGUGGGGAAUAUUGGACAAUGGGCGCAAGCCUGAUCCAGCCAUGCCGCGUGAGUGAUGAAGGCCUUAGGGUUGUAAAGCUCUUUUAGCGGGGAAGAUAAUGACUGUACCUGCAGAAUAAGCUCCGGCUAACUUCGUGCCAGCAGCCGCGGUAAUACGAAGGGAGCUAGCGUUGUUCGGAAUCACUGGGCGUAAAGCGCACGUAGGCGGAUUUGUUAGUGAGGGGUGAAAUCCCGGGGCUCAACCUCGGAACUGCCUUUCAUACUGCAGAUCUCGAGUCCGAUAGAGGUGGGUGGAAUUCCUAGUGUAGAGGUGAAAUUCGUAGA
Molecule: ribosomal RNA, 557 nt
Filed under: uncultured bacterium
Lineage: Bacteria
Description: bacterial SSU rRNA
Rfam family: Bacterial small subunit ribosomal RNA
Source: RNAcentral